Molecule: ribosomal RNA, 820 nt
Filed under: Bacillus subtilis
Lineage: Bacteria; Bacillati; Bacillota; Bacilli; Caryophanales; Bacillaceae
Description: bacterial SSU rRNA
Rfam family: Bacterial small subunit ribosomal RNA
Source: RNAcentral
GGAAUUAUUGGGCGUUAAGGGCUCGCAGGCGGUUUUUUAAGUCUGAAUGUGAAAGCCCCCGGCUCAACCGGGGAGGGUCAUUGGAAACUGGGGAACUUGAGUGCAGAAGAGGAGAGUGGAAUUCCACGUGUAGCGGUGAAAUGCGUAGAGAUGUGGAGGAACACCAGUGGCGAAGGCGACUCUCUGGUCUGUAACUGACGCUGAGGAGCGAAAGCGUGGGGAGCGAACAGGAUUAGAUACCCUGGUAGUCCACGCCGUAAACGAUGAGUGCUAAGUGUUAGGGGGUUUCCGCCCCUUAGUGCUGCAGCUAACGCAUUAAGCACUCCGCCUGGGGAGUACGGUCGCAAGACUGAAACUCAAAGGAAUUGACGGGGGCCCGCACAAGCGGUGGAGCAUGUGGUUUAAUUCGAAGCAACGCGAAGAACCUUACCAGGUCUUGACAUCCUCUGACAAUCCUAGAGAUAGGACGUCCCCUUCGGGGGCAGAGUGACAGGUGGUGCAUGGUUGUCGUCAGCUCGUGUCGUGAGAUGUUGGGUUAAGUCCCGCAACGAGCGCAACCCUUGAUCUUAGUUGCCAGCAUUCAGUUGGGCACUCUAAGGUGACUGCCGGUGACAAACCGGAGGAAGGUGGGGAUGACGUCAAAUCAUCAUGCCCCUUAUGACCUGGGCUACACACGUGCUACAAUGGACAGAACAAAGGGCAGCGAAACCGCGAGGUUAAGCCAAUCCCACAAAUCUGUUCUCAGUUCGGAUCGCAGUCUGCAACUCGACUGCGUGAAGCUGGAAUCGCUAGUAAUCGCGGAUCAGCAUGCCGCGGUGAA